This is a small nuclear RNA of Chlorocebus sabaeus (green monkey), 106 nucleotides long. Lineage: Eukaryota; Metazoa; Chordata; Mammalia; Primates; Cercopithecidae. The record is from RefSeq and is a predicted model, not a curated record.
GUGCACGCUUUGGCAGCACAUAUAUUAAAAUUGGAAAGAUACAGAGUGAGAUCAGCAUGGCCCUGCUGAGGGUGACAUGCAAAUUCAUGAAGCAUUCCAUAUUUUA